CGGCCGCGUCGACGGCAGGCUUAACACAUGCAAGUCGAACGAUGACUCUCUAGCUUGCUAGAGAAGAUUAGUGGCGGACGGGUGAGUAACAUUUAGGAAUCUACCUAGUAGUGGGGGAUAGCUCGGGGAAACUCGAAUUAAUACCGCAUACGACCUACGGGUGAAAGGGGGCGCAAGCUCUUGCUAUUAGAUGAGCCUAAAUCAGAUUAGCUAGUUGGUGGGGUAAAGGCCCACCAAGGCGACGAUCUGUAACUGGUCUGAGAGGAUGAUCAGUCACACCGGAACUGAGACACGGUCCGGACUCCUACGGGAGGCAGCAGUGGUCGACGCGGCCG
This 335-nucleotide ribosomal RNA is filed under the name uncultured bacterium. Its description in RNAcentral is "bacterial SSU rRNA". It matches the Rfam family "Bacterial small subunit ribosomal RNA", at positions 34 to 369 of the family's 1533-position model. The record is from RNAcentral.